GGAUCAUUGUCGAAAUCGAACGGAAGAACGACCCGCGAAUCGUCAUUGCGUAGUAGACAGAGCCCGUGAGCACCUAACGCUCACGGGUCUCGCGUCGCGUCGGCGCGGGUGUACUCGAGACCCGCGUCGUACCGGCGGACAAACAACGUCAGCACGGAUCGUGCCAAGGAGCUGCAUGGAGAGAAUCGUCGUCCCCCGCCUUUGAUAGUCGUCCUCGACGCGGGACGGGGGAUGUACGCAAUCUCUACUCAAAAGUCUAAACGACUCUCGGCAACGGAUAUCUCGGCUCUUGCAUCGAUGAAGAACGUAGCGAAAUGCGAUACUUGGUGUGAAUUGCAGAAUCCCGUGAACCAUCAAUUCUUUGAACGCAAGUGCGCCCGAAGCCAUUCGGCCGAGGGCACGCCUGCCUGGGCGUCGUGAAUCCCCUUGCCCCUAGGCACCCGCACGAGCAUCGGCGGGGACAUAUCCUCGGGCGCAGAAUAUGGUCUCCCGUGGGAUCGGCAUGCACGGCAUGACGAGGUGCGGUUGGCCGAAAAUCGAGCAUGGCGGUGACGGGCACCACGGCGUUCGGUGGAUCGAAUGAGAUUGGCUGCGUCGUGGGCUCGGCAUGCGGCGGGCUCCGGACUUUGAAUAUCCCCGAGUGCGAUCCCAGGUCAGGCGGGGCUACCCGCUGAGUUUAAGCAUAUCAAUAAGCGGAGGAAAAGAAACUAACGAGGAUUCCCUUAGUAGCGGC
This 733-nucleotide ribosomal RNA is filed under the name Miconia oerstediana. Its description in RNAcentral is "eukaryotic LSU rRNA". The stretch from base 263 to 417 matches the Rfam family "5.8S ribosomal RNA". Lineage: Eukaryota; Viridiplantae; Streptophyta; Magnoliopsida; Myrtales; Melastomataceae. The record is from RNAcentral.